Molecule: long non-coding RNA, 376 nt
Organism: Exaiptasia diaphana
Lineage: Eukaryota; Metazoa; Cnidaria; Anthozoa; Actiniaria; Aiptasiidae
Exons: 3
Source: RefSeq, a predicted model, not a curated record
GUAAAUUUGAUUUUAAUUAAGGGUAUAAAAAUCCGUGCUCUUUUGCUUGUUAACCCCAACAACCCAUUUGGAUAUAUUUACACUGAGGAGGAAAUCCAGGAGUAUUUGCAGUUUGCACAUCGAAAUGAUAUUCAUGUAAUCAUGGAUGAAUUGUACUUACUAUCAAUAUUCAAGGAAGGUUGUACUAUGAAAAGUGUGCUGAGCUGCAAAAAUAUUCCAGACCCUAAACGUUUGCAUGUUCUUUGGGGCCUGAGUAAAGUAAGUAAAUCACAAAAGAGAUGACAUUUCAAUUACCAUUUAUACCUAAAAUCGUUGAGUCAAUUACUGGACAAGUCAUGCAAUUGAAACGAAAUCCAACGUUUUGACCGAAACCACC